This 1132-nucleotide long non-coding RNA is filed under the name Fragaria vesca (wild strawberry). RNAcentral describes it as "long non-coding RNA (FVES_LNC001010)". The record is from RNAcentral. Lineage: Eukaryota; Viridiplantae; Streptophyta; Magnoliopsida; Rosales; Rosaceae.
CCAAAUGCCACACCGAUGAAGAUUGAAAGGAGAUCGUUGCAACACCAAAGGUUGAGAAGUUAAAGCAAAACGAAGUAUCCGGUGGGAGACGGUGAUGUAAGAGACAACACACAUGGGCCGCCACGCCCAUCUUGAUGCAUGAAGAAGCUGACAGCUAAGGUGAACUCUGACAUACAUUAAGUUGUUUUUUUUUUUUUUUGUAGAAAAUACUCAUCAACCUUAAUUUUGACAGAUUUUUUUUCUCAAAAAGAGAAUAUGAAAUUCCCACCAGCUUUUAAUGUCUCUUCCCAUUAGCCAAACAUUUACAUGUUUCUAUAUUUUUCAUUACCAAUUUGCCCUUCCUUCAGUUUUCUCCUGUCUCCUACUCUCUUUCAUAUUUUCUUCCUCUCUCUCUCUCUCUCAACCGUCGGCUGCCUCGAAGCUCUCCGGCGCCGAUCUGCUGCAGGAAAAUCUAGUUCGAUGCCGACAAUCGACGCCGCCGACGAUCGAUGACCCUACUCUCUUCCUCUAGUUGGUUGAUUAAUGUUCUCUAAAGUGCAUCUCUCUAGAUCAGAGGCCUCUAGCCUCGAGUUCUGAUUGAAGGAACCAAAUUGAGGUCUACAUGCUCACUAAAUCAGAUUUUUUUGAAGGUAAGUAUGGGUUUCUGCAAGUUUGUUAUUUGGCCAGAAUCUGUGUAAAAUUGAAAUCAAGUUUUGAAACUUAACUAUAUGUGUUUGAUUGAAUUUGAAUAAGACUUAACAUAGUAGUUGAAUGAUCGGUGUGUGGGAUGAUAAUUAUCCAUGUUGUUUGCAAUUGUAAGUUGUGUUCCAGAGUCAUUAAUAUGGGCUUGAUUGUGAUUCAUAGUUGGGGAAAUAAGGUGUAUACAACAAAAGCUUCAAUUUGAUAUGGUAGCCCUUCUAGGUAAAAUCAUGAAGCAAUGGUCUGUAGCUGGGUAGAGUACUAGAGUUUCGGUUAUCGUAUACACACGAUGCUAUGUAUGAAGAAACCAAUAGGUUUUAAUGGCAUUCGCUUGACCACAGUAAUCGUAGAUGACAUGAAAUGUGUGCUUUGCUUUUCAGCUAGGAUGAUAAUUCUCUCUUUUCUUUUAAUAAUUUUUUACUUAUUUUUAUUUUUUGAUCGGUUUUCGAUGUAG